CGUGCAUCUGGCUCCAGAGCCUUGCUUUGGCCAUGGGGACAAUGCUGCCAUUCCACAGCAGUAAACUUGUAAUACAAGAAAAGCAGUAAAAAGAGGAAAGAAAGGAGCAAGAUGUCCUAUCAGCAUGGUGCUAUAAACUGGAAAAUCCAAG
This 151-nucleotide long non-coding RNA is filed under the name Chinchilla lanigera (long-tailed chinchilla). Its description in RNAcentral is "lncRNA (ENSCLAG00000028945.1)". Lineage: Eukaryota; Metazoa; Chordata; Mammalia; Rodentia; Chinchillidae. The record is from RNAcentral.